Molecule: ribosomal RNA, 685 nt
Filed under: Trochalina sp. BMNH 671448
Lineage: Eukaryota; Metazoa; Arthropoda; Insecta; Coleoptera; Scarabaeidae
Description: eukaryotic LSU rRNA
Rfam family: Eukaryotic large subunit ribosomal RNA
Source: RNAcentral
GGGACCCGUCUUGAAACACGGACCAAGGAGUCUAGCAUGUGCGCGAGUCAUUGGGAUAUUGACUAAACCUAAAGGCGCAAUGAAAGUGAAGGUCCGCCUUGCGCGGACCGAGGGAAGAUGGGCGGUCUCGAGGGACCGUCUCGCAUUCCCGGGGCGUCUCGUUCUCAUCGCGAGAAGAGGCGCACCCAGAGCGUACACGCUGGGACCCGAAAGAUGGUGAACUAUGCCUGGUCAGGACGAAGUCAGGGGAAACCCUGAUGGAGGUCCGUAGCGAUUCUGACGUGCAAAUCGAUCGUCGGAACUGGGUAUAGGGGCGAAAGACUAAUCGAACCAUCUAGUAGCUGGUUCCCUCCGAAGUUUCCCUCAGGAUAGCUGGCGCUCGCUUUUCGCGAGUCUCAUUCGGUAAAGCGAAUGAUUAGAGGCAUUGGGGUCGAAACGGCCUCAACCUAUUCUCAAACUUUAAAUGGGUGAGAUCUCCGGCUUGCUUGAACUGUGAAGCCGCGAGAUAUCGGAUCAGAGUGCCAAGUGGGCCACUUUUGGUAAGCAGAACUGGCGCUGUGGGAUGAACCAAACGCCGAGUUAAAGCGCCUAAAUCGACGCUUAUGGGAUACCAUGAAAGGCGUUGGUAACUUAAGACAGCAGGACGGUGGCCAUGGAAGUCGGAAUCCGCUAAGGAGUGUGUAAA